RNAcentral lists this long non-coding RNA (714 nucleotides) under Varroa destructor (honeybee mite). RNAcentral describes it as "uncharacterized LOC111252885, transcript variant X3". The record is from RNAcentral. Lineage: Eukaryota; Metazoa; Arthropoda; Arachnida; Mesostigmata; Varroidae.
ACCAAGCACAAGUUUCAACCACGAAAUGAGUGGGCAGUCGAUCGGGCCACCAAGGCCUGAAAUGUAAGGAAACAAUGCCAUGGAUGGAGGCUCAGGCUAAAAAGUGAUCCCGAUCCUCAUAACCCAAAGGAAAUCCAACACCAAGCUCGAAUACAUUAAGGUUGAAGGGCACAGGCUCAACUCGUUGUACGUACGAAUGUCACAACCCGAAAGGUAAAACAAUAGAAGCUUCAAAAGUUCAGGCACAAAAAAGCCGGGAAAAGGCGCCACUGCGAAUCGUCGUCAUCCAAAACUCGUCCGUGCCAUCUUUGUUUAUAUGGAGCGACUACAAUUGCCUACUGGUCAAGCAAGCGAUGCCCUUAAUUAAGGGCCAUAAGGGGGAUACGAAUGUUCCCAGUAAAUGAGGAAGCCAGCUGUGUACCUAGCGAAAUAACGAAGGAAUUUUUGUGGGAAUGGACGCACGUAUGAACGCCACAAUUGACGCGGCUUCUACGUUUCCGAGAAAAUACGGUGCUUCCACAUAGGUUCAUUUAGGCCGACUGAAAAUACAUAAACAAGGUACAGCUGUUGCUGCUCUGCACAACACGAACGUUUGCGCUGUCGGCAGCGUCGGAGGAGGUGCGAAGUUGAUGCCUCUUUUGAUUGCUUUGACCGUUUCGAGGAGAAGUUCUAAUAAUGAGAUGAUUAAUAAUAAUAAUAAUAAAACAAGUAGAG